AGUCGAGCGGAAAGUAAUAGCAAUAUUGCUUUGAGCGGCGAACGGGUGAGUAAUGCUUAUCUUACCUGCCAUUUAGUGGGGGAUAAAAUACCGCAUAUUAUGAGUAAUCAUGAAAGGACUUUUGGGUUCGCUAAAUGAUGGGGAUAAGUCGUAUUAGCUAGUUGGUAGGGUAAUGGCCUACCAAGGCGAUGAUGCGUAGCCAGUCUGAGAGGAUGAAUGGCCACAAAGGAACUGAGACACGGUCCUUACUCCUAUUUAGGAGGCAGCAGUGAGGAAUUUUCGGCAAUGGGGGCAACCCUGACCGAGCAAUACUACGUGAAGGAGGAAGGUCUAUGGAUUGUAAACUUCUUUACUUAGGUGUACUAACCGUAAGGUUUUGCACUUAAGCAAAAAGCGACGACUAACUAUGUGCCAGCAGUCGCGGUAAGACAUAGGUCGCGAACGUUAUCCGGAAUUAUUGGGCGUAAAGGAUGCGUAGAUGGUUCGGUAAGUUACUGGUGGGAAAUCGGGGCCCAACCUCGUGGAAGCCAGUAAUACUAUCGAGCUUGAGUGCAGGAGAGGUUAACGGAACUUUAUGUGGAGCGGUAAAAUGCGUAGAUAUAUAAAAGAACAUCAAUUGGCGAAGGCAGUUAACUAUUCUGUUACUGACAUUGAGGCAUGAAAGCGUGGGGAGCAAAACGGAUUAGAUACCCGUGUAGUCCACGCCCUAAACGAUGAGUGCUAGAUAUUGGAAACUUGAUUUUCAGUGUCGCUAGGUAACCCGGUAAGCACUCCGCCUGGGGAGUACGCUCGCAAGAGUGAAACUUAA
RNAcentral lists this ribosomal RNA (808 nucleotides) under uncultured bacterium. RNAcentral describes it as "bacterial SSU rRNA". It matches the Rfam family "Bacterial small subunit ribosomal RNA", at positions 60 to 904 of the family's 1533-position model. The record is from RNAcentral.